GGGGAAUAUUGGACAAUGGGGGGAACCCUGAUCCAGCCAUGCCGCGUGUGUGAAGAAGGCCUUAUGGAUGUAAAGCACUUUAAGCGAGGAGGAGGCUCCCGUAGCUAAUAUCUACGGAGAGUGGACGUUACUCGCAGAAUAAGCACCGGCUAACUCUGUGCCAGCAGCCGCGGUAAUACAGAGGGUGCGAGCGUUAAUCGGAUUUACUGGGCGUAAAGCGUGCGUAGGCGGCUUUUUAAGUCGGAUGUGAAAUCCCCGAGCUUAAUUUGGGAAUUGCAUUCGAUACUGGGAAGCUAGAGUAUGGGAGAGGAUGGUAGAAUUCCAGGUGUAGCGGUGAAAUGCGUAGAGAUCUGGAGGAAUACCGAUGGCGAAGGCAGCCAUCUGGCCUAAUACUGACGCUGAGGCAUGAAAGCGUGGGGAGCAAAC
Molecule: ribosomal RNA, 426 nt
Filed under: uncultured bacterium
Lineage: Bacteria
Description: bacterial SSU rRNA
Rfam family: Bacterial small subunit ribosomal RNA
Source: RNAcentral